AUUGAACGCUGGCGGCAGGCCUAACACAUGCAAGUCGAACGGCAGCACAGAAGAGCUUGCUCUUUGGGUGGCGAGUGGCGGACGGGUGAGUAAUGUCUGGGAAACUGCCCGAUGGAGGGGGAUAACUACUGGAAACGGUAGCUAAUACCGCAUAACGUCGCGAGACCAAAGUGGGGGACCUUCGGGCCUCACACCAUCGGAUGUGCCCAGAUGGGAUUAGCUAGUAGGUGGGGUAAUGGCCCACCUAGGCGACGAUCCCUAGCUGGUCUGGGAGGAUGACCAGCCACACUGGAACUGAGACACGGUCCAGACUCCGACGGGAGGCAGCAGUGGGGAAUAUUGCACAAUGGGCGCAAGCCUGAUGCAGCCAUGCCGCGUGUAUGAAGAAGGCCUUCGGGUUGUAAAGUACUUUCAGCGGGGAGGAAGGCGGUGAGGUUAAUAACCUCGCCGAUUGACGUUACCCGCAGAAGAAGCACCGGCUAACUCCGUGCCAGCAGCCGCGGUAA
This 506-nucleotide ribosomal RNA is filed under the name uncultured bacterium. RNAcentral describes it as "partial 16S ribosomal RNA". It matches the Rfam family "Bacterial small subunit ribosomal RNA", at positions 29 to 523 of the family's 1533-position model. The record is from RNAcentral.